CGGAUGUAGCCAAGUGGAUCAAGGCAGUGGAUUUGUGAAUCCCACCAUGCGCGGA
This 55-nucleotide transfer RNA is filed under the name Myrcianthes pungens. Its description in RNAcentral is "partial tRNA-His". The record is from RNAcentral. Lineage: Eukaryota; Viridiplantae; Streptophyta; Magnoliopsida; Myrtales; Myrtaceae.